GUGCUCGCCACGGCGGCACAUAUACUAAAAAUUGGAUCGAUACAGAGAAGAUUAUCAUGGCCCCUGCGUGAAGUCCGUGAAGCGCUCCAUCUUUUG
Molecule: small nuclear RNA, 96 nt
Filed under: Sinocyclocheilus anshuiensis
Lineage: Eukaryota; Metazoa; Chordata; Actinopteri; Cypriniformes; Cyprinidae
Source: RNAcentral